This 30-nucleotide non-coding RNA is filed under the name Mus musculus (house mouse). Lineage: Eukaryota; Metazoa; Chordata; Mammalia; Rodentia; Muridae. The record is from RNAcentral.
UAGAGAAACGCGGUGAACGAACCGACUUUC